RNAcentral lists this ribosomal RNA (465 nucleotides) under uncultured bacterium. RNAcentral describes it as "partial 16S ribosomal RNA". It matches the Rfam family "Bacterial small subunit ribosomal RNA", at positions 28 to 507 of the family's 1533-position model. The record is from RNAcentral.
GACGAACGCUGGCGGCGUGCUUAACACAUGCAAGUCGAACGGAAAGGCCCUGCUUGCAGGGUACUCGAGUGGCGAACGGGUGAGUAACACGUGGGUGAUCUGCCCUGCACUUCGGGAUAAGCUUGGGAAACUGGGUCUAAUACCGGAUAGGAACCAUCUUUAGUGUGGUGGUUGGAAAGUUUUUUCGGUGUAGGAUGAGCUCGCGGCCUAUCAGCUUGUUGGUGGUGUAAUGGCCUACCAAGGCGGCGACGGGUAGCCGGCCUGAGAGGGUGUACGGCCACAUUGGGACUGAGAUACGGCCCAGACUCCUACGGGAGGCAGCAGUGGGGAAUAUUGCACAAUGGGCGCAAGCCUGAUGCAGCGACGCCGCGUGGGGGAUGAAGGCCUUCGGGUUGUAAACUCCUUUCGCUAGGGACGAAGCUUUUUGUGACGGUACCUAGAUAAGAAGCACCGGCUAACUACGUG